This is an RNA transcript of Populus nigra (black poplar), 2967 nucleotides long. RefSeq lists it as uncharacterized. NCBI's taxonomy places the organism in Eukaryota, Viridiplantae, Streptophyta, Magnoliopsida, Malpighiales, Salicaceae. The transcript has 15 exons. The record is from RefSeq and is a predicted model, not a curated record.
GGCAUAAUGUAAUUAAUAUAUGCUGCGGAAACAAAGGAAAAGAAAAAUGUAGGAAAGAGGAGAAAAAAGAAGAGAAAGUUUGGAAGUGAAUGAAAAGGAAGAAGAAAAUGUCAGUACUGAACAUGGUAAUGGAUAGGUGGAGGCCUCAAUUAGAUGCGAUCCUCUCCACCUUCGUGUCCAUCUACCCUCACGAAACCUCACCUCUCCUUCACUCCUCUUCCUGCUUUUUCUUCAUUUUGAGUGCAUAUUUUGUAGUGUUACCAUUGCGGGAUGAAGGUGCAAUCUCUCUAGGUUUAUCGAAGCUUCCAGCUCUCUUUACCGGAUCCUUAUUCCUCACCUUGAUUGCUGCUCCUUUAUCAACUCUCCUUUUCUCUUUCCCUAAUUUCUCUAAAUCCAAGGCUUUGUUUUUGAUACACAGGUUUUUUAGUGUUUCUCUUGUUCUCUUCUUCUUUCUAUGGCAUUUCUCUUCCUCUGCUUCUGCUGAGUUUUCGCUCUUCAAGUCAAAGGGUACUGUUGCUAUAUCAACUGAAUUGAAAGAGGGUUUGAAGGUUGAUGUUGACAGAACCAGUAGUACAUAUUCUGGAAGUUGGGAUGAUCAUGGAUGGUUUUAUAUUUCUGUCAGAAUUGGAUUGUUUCUCUGGGUUGCGCUGCUUAAUCUUAUUACCAUAUCGUCGACUUGGGCUAGGGUUAUUGAUGUGAUGGAUAGUGAGUCAGGUUCAAGAUUGUUUGGGUUCAUUGGUGCUGGUGCUACACUUGGUCAGCUAUUUGGAUCGUUGUUUGCAACAUCAAUGGCUUGGUUGGGUCCUUUUUUACUUCUAUUUGCUGCUUUGUUGAUGGAACUAGCUGCACAGUCAUCAAAAGGGAUCGACAAGGAUGUAUCCCAUCUUCCUCAUGAAUUAUCUCCCAUAAGAAAAGUUGAUGCUGAUCAGCAUAGUGAGGCUGAUGGACGAUCAUCACCAGCUUUCAAAGUCUCUUCUCCAAAGUCUCCUUCAUCCAGGAUGAGGCCUCAGCUUUGGGUCAUCUUAGAUGGGUUUCGGCUUGUAUUAUCUUCAACUUAUUUGUUGAAUGUGUCUCUAUUCCUGUGGCUGAGUGCAGUUAUUUCUUCAUUCUUCUAUUUUCAGAAAGUAACAGUAAUUGCCAUGACUGUUUCAAGCUCUCUUGGAAGAAGAAAAUUGUUUGCCCAGAUAAAUAGCUUCAUUGCUGUUUUUAUCCUUGCUGGACAACUUACUUUAACAAAAGUAACAGUAAUUGCCAUGACUGUUUCAAGCUCUCUUGGAAGAAGAAAAUUGUUUGCCCAGAUAAAUAGCUUCAUUGCUGUUUUUAUCCUUGCUGGACAACUUACUUUAACAGGACGCAUCCUUACUUUAGCUGGGGUUACUGCAGCAAUAUGCUCUGCUCCGGUUGCUGCCUUCUCAAAUUUGGUUGCUAUUGCUGUUUGGCCAACUUGGGUAGCAGUUGCCAUCUGUGAGACUGUACGGAAGGUUUGUCACCAUUGGUCCCUUGCCUGCAGUGAAACAGCAUUGUGGGUGGUUACUUAUGUAGUGACCAGGCCUGGAAGAGAACUUCUGUUUGCUGUGGUCACUCAAGAAGAGAAAUACAAAGCUAAGGUUAGUAGAUGUUUCUGCACAUGUUUAUUUUUAUUGAUUAUGGAUAUGCAGGAAAAGAGUCCUGUUCUCUCUAAAACUGAAGUAUUACUUGUACCUUUGACAACUCCUGAUUUUAGCAUGCCGUAAAAUGUCAUCACAAUCACGUGCACUGUAUUUGCUCUGUAUUUUGGGUCACUUAUCAAUGUACUUGGACGAAGGGUUGGAGAGGAGGAAACAUUCCUUGAAAGCAAAGGUAACUUUUGUCUCUUGGAUUGUGUUUGUUGUGACUAGAAUAUGGUCUAUGAAUGGCCCUCUCUCAUGGACUAAUUCAAUAUUUACAAUCUAAAUAUGGUUGAUGGUGAAUCAACAAACUCUUAAGUUGCUGGAUUGGAUGCUAGUUAUAUGAUGAUAUCCACAAAUUAAAAUAUGUGCGUGGUAUCCAAGACAUUUGUUCUGGGCUGAUCACGUGCACUGUAUUUGCUCUGUAUUUUGGGUCACUUAUCAAUGUACUUGGACGAAGGGUUGGAGAGGAGGAAACAUUCCUUGAAAGCAAAGGUAACUUUUGUCUCUUGGAUUGUGUUUGUUGUGACUAGAAUAUGGUCUAUGAAUGGCCCUCUCUCAUGGACUAAUUCAAUAUUUACAAUCUAAACAUGGUUGAUGGUGAAUCAACAAAACUCUUAAGUUGCUGGAUUGGAUGCUAGUUAUAUGAUGAUAUCCACAAAUUAAAAUAUGUGCGUGGUAUCCAAGACAUUUGUUCUGGGCUGAUCAUUUUCAACUUAUGAAAAAGAAAUAAAUUAAAUAAAAUUAUUUAAAGCAUGUUUAAUUUUUUUUUUCUUGUGUUAACUGCUGGUUCCUCCUUCUUUACUCAAGACUGCUCAAGGCCAUCCAAUGCUUGUAAUUCAUGGCGGUUGUAUGCUGUAACAGUUGGUGAAAUUGAAAGAAGGAGAGACUUACAAUGGGCAUUUGGUCAAUUGUGAUGCUUGGAUGAACAUCCAUCUCCGUUUAGCUUUAAUUUUCUUUAACCCUAAUAUCCUUGAUCUGUUUUAGAUUCCAAAAUUUCCCAUCUCUUUCCAUUCUUUCAUUUUAUGUUCUUGACCCUGGCUUUUCUUGCAGGUUGCUUGAUUUUUCUUUUUGGCUCUAAAAAACAUUACUGCUCAAGGCCACCCAAUGCUUGUAAUUCAUGGCCCUUCUUCCAGGUGUUUUUGAUACGAUGGAUAGACUUAUUGGCUGAAGUCACAACACAAGAACUCUGAACUGUGAAUUUGCUUUAUUGUUUCUUCAUGUGAUAAAUGACUAGUCUGAGCUUCAGUUUUUUUUUCUUGGCUUUUAAUGUAUUGUUAAACUAUUGUGUCUUGUAAUUAAUGUUUGAAAUUUAUUUUUC